RNAcentral lists this ribosomal RNA (464 nucleotides) under Vreelandella stevensii. Its description in RNAcentral is "partial 16S ribosomal RNA". It matches the Rfam family "Bacterial small subunit ribosomal RNA", at positions 339 to 795 of the family's 1533-position model. Lineage: Bacteria; Pseudomonadati; Pseudomonadota; Gammaproteobacteria; Oceanospirillales; Halomonadaceae. The record is from RNAcentral.
CCACGGGGGGCAGCAGUGGGGAAUAUUGGACAAUGGGGGGAACCCUGAUCCAGCCAUGCCGCGUGUGUGAAGAAGGCCCUCGGGUUGUAAAGCACUUUCAGUGAGGAAGAACGCCUGGUGGUUAAUACCCAUCAGGAAAGACAUCACUCACAGAAGAAGCACCGGCUAACUCCGUGCCAGCAGCCGCGGUAAUACGGAGGGUGCGAGCGUUAAUCGGAAUUACUGGGCGUAAAGCGCGCGUAGGUGGCUUGAUAAGCCGGUUGUGAAAGCCCCGGGCUCAACCUGGGAACGGCAUCCGGAACUGUCAAGCUAGAGUGCAGGAGAGGAAGGUAGAAUUCCCGGUGUAGCGGUGAAAUGCGUAGAGAUCGGGAGGAAUACCAGUGGCGAAGGCGGCCUUCUGGACUGACACUGACACUGAGGUGCGAAAGCGUGGGUAGCAAACAGGAUUAGAUACCCUUGUAGUC